UUUAGAGAGAAAGAGUGUUUAGAGAAUUUUGGGAUUUUUGCCAAAGUGUUGGAAUUAGCUUUUUGGUGAGAAUUUGAGUAUAUUUAUAGGGAUAGGAGGUGUCUAGGGUUUUUAGGUUUAAUUUAGGUUUAAUUAGCCAAUUUAUUUGGCUAUUAAACAUAAGAUGAAUGUUUUGGUGGUUUUUGAAUUUAUUGGGUAAUAAAAAGGAAGAAAUGGUGAAAAAGGUAGAAAAAAGUGAUGGAUUAGGUUUUGAAAUGGGGAUAGCCGGCCAUGUGGUGUUUUAGGGUUGAAUUGGAUGUAUUUUGUAGUUAUUUGGAUAUAAUGGAUGGUUUAAUUGACAAUUAAUGGGUUAAUUAGGCAAUAAACCCAUUAAUUAGCCAAUUAACAUAAUUUAAAAGGAAUGUGUUUGGGAAUUACCUUGUAGAAAGGAUUUGAUGAGAUGGACUUUGAAUUGUUACCUAUUUUGGACACUUCUGUCUUGGUUGAAAGAGGGUUGCCCGCUGCUUGCGCGUAGGAACCUCGUUGUACUGCAAGGGUAUUUUUGUCAUUUUUGUCCAAAAAUCCACGUGUCGCCCUGUGAAUAUUUUUGGCUCCACAAAUGCCCCCACACCUGUUGGGCUGCUCGCAGAAAAGGGCAGCAGGUGUAGAGAGAGAUCUUCUUGCUUUAGGAAACUUAGGACUGCUUCCUAUUUUGAUGUAGAUUAUCUCUUUAAUAGGAAAUUAGAUCCUUCUAGGAAAGGGAAAUAAAUUUCUCUCAAAGCUUAUUUAAAUCCACCUUAAGUGGGUUAUUAAAUCAACUUUGGAGAGCGAUUUAUUCUACCCUACAAGAGAGAGAUAGCUUAGAGGAUAUUUGUUCCCCCUCCUCUAGCAAUCUUCUACAUCUUGCCCGUGCAAAGGACCGUCUUUCGUUGAUUUCUUCGUCUUCUUCGUGGAUAGUGCUACCGCGGGGCAGUCGUCGGGGUGGUGCGGCACGUCAGCUGGCAUGGGCCAGGAGUCGACUCGGCAUGGGCCGAUGAGGUAUUGCGGCAGGGACCACUGCUUUAAGCUGCUCGACUUGGCUAGAACCAAGGGCAGCUUGUGUGGCUGGGACCUCGAAUUGUGGCAAUGGGGCGCAGUGUUAGGCAAGUCACAUGGCUCAUGUCUUUUUAGGCUUUUGGACAUGACUCGAGCUAGGCUGGUGAUUGAGAGAAAUGAAGAGGUUGCGAACCUCAUGAACUGCUGGAAUGUUGGGUUGAACUUCCCUGCUAGGUACCACGAAUGACGUUGGCUACUUUAACUCUUUUCAUUAGGAGAAACGUGGGAUGUUCCCAAAAGAUGAGGGGAAUAGGAUCAAAGCGGAUGCACUGGCUCGUCCAAUUACUGUUGUGGAUCCUACUGCAAGUGAAGGUGGGAAAAUGGAUCUUUUCUGCUUGCUCAAGAGAUGCCGGUUGAGAAAAAACCAAAGACUUCUUUCGCUGCUCAUGAGGGUCCGUUUGCUACCAAGAGGUAUGUGAUUGACAUGACUUCUUCCAAUGGGAAGAAAUGUAAGGCUGCUAGAUCUGAGCAUGUGGCGUCUUCCAUGUUGAGAAUGGCUAGUACAAUUGUGGAUAAGAUUACUCAGCGUAAAGGUUUUAUCAUGCCCCCAGUGCCGAAGUCUGUACCAGGACGUUCUUUGGGAGCCAAGUCCGGUUCACCUUUGUAGAGACUUGCUAUUAUGAAGAGUGGUAAGGUGGACUCUGCUGCUAAAGUGGCGCCAAAGCCUGCUCCCUUUGCUGCUGAGAUUGAUUCGCCUCAGAUUCAAGAUCUUAAGCUUGCAAUUUCUGAGAUUCAUUUCGCUACUUAUGCUAAGAAGAGAGCGGAUGAGCUGCAGCGCGUCCGUGUUAGUCUGCUUAAGAAGAAUGAGCAACUGAAGGGUGAGAAGGAUGGGCUUGAGGUUUUAAGACCUUCUCUAUUUCUCCGGAAGACUUGCUUGCUUUUACUUUUAAGGCUUCCAUUAGUGAAGUAGUUGGAGAAGUUAGUGCCCAGACUGGGGCAGCCAGGGGUGAAGCGUCGGAUGAUGCCGCUGCUAAGAGCGUUACGGCUGUUGAAGGUGUGGCGACCGAGUAGUCGUGGGAUGUCCAAGCUGCUGUAGUGUAGUAUUUUAGGUAGCCUUUAGGAUUUUCUUUGUUUUUCCUUGUAGCUUUUGUUUUGCUUGAACUCCUUCAGCCUUUGCUAGUUGUUUAUAAACAUGUUUUCCUUCGUUUUUCUUCAUCUUCACUUCUUUUGUUCAUGCCCUAACCUUUAGACUUGAUAGACCAGUGGCAGGCAUGCUACUUUUUUAUAAGCAGACAAACUCGCGUAGCCUAUGCAGCCGUAGGUGUUGGUGUAGAACUUUGCAAAGUUGUUAGCCAUAGGGUUGGCAGCCGGAUGCCUUACUUACAGAAGCAGACAAGUCCGCGUAACCACUAGGCUGUUAACCUUGACUUUCUUCAAUUCCGUAGGUUACGUAGCAAGUAUCACAACACUUUAGGACUUGGUGUAUGUUGUUCCGCGCUUGGCAGAGGUGAAGCUUAUCAACUACGUAGCAUGUCGGCAGUGGAUAAAACUUCGUAUAUGCGCGCUAGCUUGUUUAACCUUUCACAAGAAUGUGCGGUUGUAUAAGUCUAGUGCGGCUUCACUGCUCGAAGGGCAAGCCGUAGGCAGUCUUCCGGAAUCCGUAGGCUACCUUAGUGCACUCGGUAGCAGCUUUAGGAUUCCAGGGCAGCCGUCCAUCGGAUGUACUGCGUAAUGUGCCCUCUCCGUCUCUAGGGCCCGGUUCCCCACGGAUUAGGCCAAGAGACCCAAAAUCCUUCAGUUAGCUAAGCCUUGAAAAAGACCAUUGCGGCUACUUCUAGGAAUCCCGGCGCAAGCCAUUGUGCAUCUAGUUAUACUAGGGCAGCCAGGCUCAUCCACGUCUGGAUAUUCGGAGUGUAAAGUUUAUCCUCCCGUCUUGGAGAGCUGACCCAUAUGGGUGUCGGAGAAUUGGUUUACCCUCUCGCACUGGAGAGCAUGGUUGGUCCCUCGGGGGGCGCAAUUCCUGCGAUGAGUCCCUAAGAAUGGCGCAGUCUUCUUUUGAAGUGCAGGAGUGAUUAGUUGUUGUAAGCAUACAGCCAAGCCAAGUUGUGAUUACUUCUAAAUUCCUCAUUGAAAAACGAGUGAAACGAACGAGAACUUUAGCUGUAAGGUAGGAACUGCAUAACAACUGGAUAGUCCUCAGCUUGUGAGGUGGUGCCCGUCGAGCUUAUUGAGUCUUCGGGUUUUGAUGUAGCGGGAGGUCACACAUGGUACUUCUUCAGAUUGUAGGCCAUCCAUUUCUUUUCAAUCUUUUUGCCGCUUCAUGGUGGUGAGGGUGUAAUUACUCUUGCCCCUUACUCUGCUGAUCUUGUACGGACCUUCCCAGAUGGGAUCCAUCUUUUUGGAGCCUUCUCUGCCGGCAGUGAUGAAGGCUUUUCUGCGUCGUCGACAUGCAAAUGCCAGAAGUCUCCAUCGGGUGGAGUAAGCGCAGCUAGAGUGUGCUCGGCUACUUCUGAGGCAUCGUUGGGCCGCUCUGUUGCGUCACCUAGGCUCGGCGUGAAGACGCAGUAGGGAGCUGUGGAGAUGGGGCCAUGUCAUACGCAACAGGAGAUGCUCAACUGCCGGUAUUGGGCCACUCUAGAGUUGAAUCAUUGAGCAAGGGUCGGCUAGGGCCGUGUGAUGCGCAGCAAGAAAUGGUACUCAACUGCCGGUACAUGUUGCUCCUAUGUAGAAUCUUUUAGGGUGACGAGGACAAAAACUUGCUUUCGAGUGUGUCCUUCCAGUGUUGCGUUCGUCAUAAAACUUUACAUCCGCCAGGGUCUACGCCUUUAUCGUCGCGCGUCUGGAUUGGGCAGAAUAGUACGUCAUUAGGAUGAUUGCAUGCGUUUGAAAGUAAAACUUGUGUUUCUGGGUUGCAACAACUAUCGCCAAAGUUAGCUUUUGAAUUUUUAAUAACAUCGAGGAGAGCUUUUGAACUGUAGAAUACAGGUAACUGUGGAAUACAGGUAGUUGGGCCCCCAUCUCUUCUCGCAUGAUGGUAGAGCUUAUUGCUACUUUAGAUAUCGUCAAACAUGUGAAUAAGUCAUCCGCUGCUUCUAGGGAGGUGAUGUCGGGUACUUCUUCAAGUCCUUGAAUGUGCAUUGGCGAGCCUCAUCCCAAAGUGCAUACUUCUCUGCCAAAGCAAAAGAAUCUGCCAGAGUUAGAUCUUCUUUCAUGAUCAAUUUUCCGAAUAGCGGGUGGUCUGCUGGAAGUCCUUUUUGGAAGGCUGCUCUAGCUAUCGAGUCGUUGCAUCCGACUAUUUUUGCCUUCUCUACUUUGAAACUCCUCACAUAGUCGCGAAGUGACUCUUUUGGGUUCUUCUUGACGUUGAACAAAUGAUCAGAUUUCUUUUUGAUCGAGCGAUAGGAUGAAUAUUCUUUGGUGAAAACCAAAGAAAGUUCGUAGAAAUUCCGGAUGGAUUGUGGCAGCAGGGUGUAGAACCAAUCUUGCGCCUCGCCUUGUAGAGUGGUGGCGAAUAUCUUGCACAUAAGCUCAUCGUUGUUUCGAUAAAGGAUCAUUGCGCUUCGGUAACGCUUUAAGUGUCUCUCCGGGUCUUCAUCCCCUUUGAAAAAUGUGAAAUGUGGCAUGCUGAACUCUCGUGGAGGCUCUGCCUGCUCGAUCUCGUCCGUGAAGGGUGACCUGCUUAUGUUGGUCAUGUUCCAUCGUAGUGCCUCGUCGGUGACCUCGUUGCGUUGGAAAUCAUGCAAUCGCUUGGUCAAGAGUCUCUCUACUUCUUCCUGAAUUUGCCUUUGUUGGGGUAGCGGAGCUCUCGGCUGUCCCCAGCCAUGACUUGCUGGUCUAGACUGCUCUUCCAUAUGUUUGGCUCGUCUACGCCGCAGAUGCAGUGCAUGUGGUGCGUUCCUAGCAGGCGAGCGAGUUCUUCGCAGGCUGCUGGUUGAACUUGAGCUGGAUUGAGUGACUGCCUCUCUCCGUCCGUCGUGCUGCCUACUCUGAUGUGAGGUGGAUGAUGCUCCUUGUGGGCUUAGCUGCGAAUGAACACUUUGUCCGGAAGGUUGCUCAUGUUGACUAUCGGAGUGUGACCCCAACCGUGAAUGUAUGCUUAUCCGUGGGCCUAGUCGAGAGUACACGCUCCUCCGCGCGCUAAGACGGGAGUAUACGCUAUCUCGGGGGCCCAAUCGGGAAUGUACACUGCCUGAACGUUCGGCUUGUGGCUGGUCGAAUGGCUGCUUGCCGGGACGCUGCUGGAAAGGUUCGUCUGCCCUUGUCCUACUUCGGGAUACCUCGUCCGGGGCACGUUGGAUCCCGAUGCGUUGCAAAAGUUGAUUCACCAAAGUUGUCUGUUGUGUAAGGGCGCUCGUCAACUCUAUGACUUGUCGAGACAAGUGUUGUUCGCCAUUUGGAUUGGAAGAGCUUGGAAGGAAUGCGCCUCCUUGGGCAGUGGAAAUGUGGUAGACUCCGGGCGCGAGAUUUGAAUUGGGAAAUGUCAAAUCCGCGAAAAAAUAUGGUGAGAAUGCCCCAGGCUCGAUGGUAGGUCCGGAUGGUUGAGAUAGUCUUGGGUCGACUUGGGCUACUUGGAAAGCCACUGGAGCAUGAUGGGCCGUGAGAGUGGGCUGCUCGUCGGGAGCAUGCUGGGUCACGAGAGCAGGCUGCUCGGCAGGAGCAGGUUGGGCCGUGAGAGUGGGCUGCUCGACGGAAGCAGGCUGAACCACGGGAGUGAGCUGCUCGUCGGGAGCAGGCUGGGUCACGAGAGCAGGCUGCUUGGCAGGAGUGGGCUGCUCGACGGAAGCAGGCUGGACCACGGGAGUGGGUUGCUCGUCGGGAGCAGGCUGGGUCACGAGAGCAGGCUGGGCCACGGGAGUGGGCUGCUUGGCAGGAGCAGGCUGGGCCACCGGAGUGGGCUGCUCGACGAAAGCAGGCUGGGCCACGGGAGUGGGCUGCUCGUCGGGAGCAGGCUGGGUCACGAGAGCAGGCUGCUCGGCAGGAGCAGGUUGGGCCGUGAGAGUGGGUUGCUUGACGGGAGCAGGCUGCUCAAUGCGCGGUGCAUGUGAAUGCGAGGCUUGGGCUUGGGUCCACGUAAACUUAGAUGGCACGGCUUGGAUCGUGGUCUUGGUACCGUGAGCCUUGGAUGGCACGGCUCGGGCCGUGGUGAAGGCUCCAUGGACCUCGCCACGAGUGGCUACCGAAGUAGCCACUGCGGUGGUUCCCAUGGUGGCCGUGGUGAAGGCACCAUGGACCUCGCCGCGGGUAGCUACCGAGGUAGCCACCACAGUGGUUCCCAUGGUAGAAGCUUGUGGUGAUGAUGCCGCUCCCCUUAUUGUCUCAUUUUGCCUCACGGAUCUCCGGGCCGUGGUGAAGGCUCCAUGGACCUCGCCAUGAGUGGCUACCGAAGUAGCCACUGCGGUGGUUCCCAUGGUGGCCGUGGUGAAGGCACCAUGGACCUCGCCGCGGGUGGCUACCGAGGUAGCCACCACGGUGGUUCCCAUGGUGGAAGCUCGUGAUGAUGAUGCCGCUCCCCUUAUUGUCGCAUUUAGCCUCACGGAUCUCCGCAAUCCCAUUUCUUGAACAUUAGAAUUUUCACUUGUGGAAUUUUCUAAAUUUCUAGCCAUUAUAUUUUGUUUAUACGUUUUAUCAAAGAGCCUUUGCAAGUAAAAAAUUCUAAUAAUAAGAACGUAUGAAAAAUAUUCAAAUGGACUAGAAAAUAAAGAAAAAACCUUUUUGUGCGAGAGUCUUCUACAAGUAUGGAUUUCAACUCUCAAUGAAAGCACCAAUUUGUGGAUGCAAAUUUCUUCCUCCUUGAUCUUGGACAAUUUUGCACCUACAAAACAAUUAACACCUUAGGUUAAGGCCAAAAGCCUCACGCGCCCACGAUGAAUGGGGGGGCUUUGGCCGAAGAACCUCCGAUGCCAAAGUUAGAAUUUAGAGAGAAAGAGUGUUUAGAGAAUUUUGGGAUUUUUGCCAAAGUGUUGGAAUUAGCUUUUUGGUGAGAAUGGGAGUAUAUUUAUAGGGAUAGGAGGUGGCUAGGGUUUUUAGGUUUAAUUUAGGUUUAAUUAGCCAAUUUAUUUGGCUAUUAAACAUAAGAUGAAUGUUUUGGUGGUUUUUGAAUUUAUUGGGUAAUAAAAAGGAAGAAAUUGUGAAAAAGGUAGAAAAAAGUGAUGGAUUAGGUUUUGAAAUGGGGAUAGCCGGCCAUGUGGUGUUUUAGGG
RNAcentral lists this long non-coding RNA (7212 nucleotides) under Malus domestica (apple). Its description in RNAcentral is "long non-coding RNA (MDOM_LNC007192)". Lineage: Eukaryota; Viridiplantae; Streptophyta; Magnoliopsida; Rosales; Rosaceae. The record is from RNAcentral.